AGUGAACGCUGGCGGUAGGCCUAACACAUGCAAGUCGAACGGCAGCACAGUAAGAGCCUGCUCUUACGGGUGGCGAGUGGCGGACGGGUGAGGUAUACAUCGGAAUCUACUUUUUCGUGGGGGAUAACGUAGGGAAACUUACGCUAAUACCGCAUACGACCUACGGGUGAAAGCAGGGGAUCUUUGGACCUUGCGCGAUUGAAUGAGCCGAUGUCGGAUUAGCUAGUUGGCGGGGUAAAGGCCCACCAAGGCGACGAUCCGUAGCUGGUCUGAGAGGAUGGUCAGCCACCCUGGAAGUGAGCCAGGGUCCAGACUCCUGCGGGAGGCAGCAGUGGGGAAUAUUAGGCAAUGGGGGCAAGCCUGAUCCAGCCAUACCGCGUGGGUGAAGAAGGCCUUCGGGUUGGAAAGCCCUUUUGUUGGGAGAGAAAAGCAGCAGGUUAAUACCCCGCUGUUCUGACGGUACCCGGAGAAUAAGCACCGGCUAACUUCGUG
Molecule: ribosomal RNA, 492 nt
Filed under: uncultured bacterium
Lineage: Bacteria
Description: partial 16S ribosomal RNA
Rfam family: Bacterial small subunit ribosomal RNA
Source: RNAcentral